Molecule: ribosomal RNA, 427 nt
Filed under: bacterium
Lineage: Bacteria
Description: partial 16S ribosomal RNA
Rfam family: Bacterial small subunit ribosomal RNA
Source: RNAcentral
UAGGGAAUCUUCGGCAAUGGGGGCAACCCUGACAGAGCAACGCCGCGUGAGUGAAGAAGGUUUUCGGAUCGUAAAGCUCUGUUGUAAGAGCAGAACGUGUGUGAGAGUGGAAAGUUCCCACAGUGACGGUAACUUACCAGAAAGGGAAGGCUAACUACGUGCCAGCAGCCGCGGUUAUACGUAGGUCCCGCGCGUUGUCCGGAUUUAUUGGGCGUAAAGCGAGCGCAGGCGGUUUAAUAAGGCUGAAGUUAAAGGCAGUUGCUUAACCAUUGUCCGCUUUGGAAGCUGUUAAACUUGAGUGCAGAAGAGGAGAGUUGAAUUCCAUGUAGCGCAGAAAUGCGUAGAUAUAUGGAGGAGUACCGGUGGCGAGAACGGGUCUCUGGUGUGUAACUGACGCUGAGGCUCGAAAGCGUGUGGAGCAAACAGG